GGAAGGAUCAUUAAAAAUAUGGUGAUGCUGCCGUGGCACACAUUGUCUUCAUUUCACUCUGAGUACCUUUCCUGUUGCUUCCGUAGGGUUCGGCGAGUCACAUGUGUCGCCUUCUGCCCUUGGGGAUCAAAGAUAUCGAUCCUCAUUGGGGAGAUCCUGCGGGAGGAAAGCAUUCAAACUCUUUGUAUUCGAAUGGCAUUCGGUCUGAUCUUGGUAAGGAAACAUUAAAACUUUCAGCAACGGAUCUCUUGGUUCUCGCAUCGAUGAAGAACGCAGCGAAAUGCGAAAAGUAGUGUGAAUUGCAGAAUUCAGUGAAUCAUCGAAUCUUUGAACGCACAUUGCGCCUCGCGGUAUUCCGUGAGGCAUGCCUGUUUGAGCGUCAUUGAAAGUAGUUCAAGCUUUUAUUUGCUUGGUCGUGGUGGAUGAGGGACUGACUGUUCUCUCACCUCCAAAAUUGAAUGGCGGAUUAACAGCAGGUGCCCUGGCGUUGUAUGACAAAGCCCCCUCGCCUUGGCCGCUGGAGUAAUCCUGCCCGCCAAUCCCCAUGAUAUUUCAAGAUUGACCUCGGAUCAGGUAGGGAUACCCGCUGAACUUAAGCAUAUCAAUAAGCGGAGGAAAAGAAACCAACAGGGAUUGCCUCAGUAACUGCGAGUGAAGCGGCAAAAGCUCAAAUUUGAAAUCUGGCGUCUUGGACGUCCGACUUGUAAUUUGGAGAGGCAUCUUUGGAGAUGGCGUCGUCCCAAGUUCCUUUGAACAGGAUGUCGCAGAGGGUGAGAAUCCCGUAUCUGGACAGCGGUCCAUCUUCAUUUCGGGGUGUCUUCGACGAGUCGAGUUGUUUGGGAAUGCAGCUCAAAAUGGGUGGUAAAUGUCAUCUAAAGCUAAAUAUUGGCGAGAGACCGAUAGCGCACAAGUAGAGUGAUCGAAAGAUGAAAAGCACUUUGAAAAGAGAGUCAAAAAGUACGUGAAAUUGCUGAGAGGGAAGCGCUUGAGACCAGACUCAACUCCCCGAUGUUACUCUGGGCUUUUGUCUGGUAAAUAUAUGUCUUGGAUUGAGCCAGCAUCGGUUUUGGCGGUGGGAUAAAAGGUUGGGGAAUGUAGCUUCCUCCGGGGAGUGUUAUAGCCCUGGCUAUAAUGCCACCAGCAAGGACUGAGGACCGCGCUUCGGCUAGGAUG
Molecule: ribosomal RNA, 1173 nt
Filed under: uncultured fungus
Lineage: Eukaryota; Fungi
Description: eukaryotic LSU rRNA
Rfam family: Eukaryotic large subunit ribosomal RNA (bases 560-1173)
Source: RNAcentral